RNAcentral lists this long non-coding RNA (1920 nucleotides) under Heterocephalus glaber (naked mole-rat). RNAcentral describes it as "lncRNA (ENSHGLG00100046860.1)". Lineage: Eukaryota; Metazoa; Chordata; Mammalia; Rodentia; Bathyergidae. The record is from RNAcentral.
GGUGGCUGGAGUUGUGGCCGCGAAGUUGGCUCCGGGCAGGAGCCACAUCGAAGGCGUGGGAGGGGCGCUGCUCCAGACGCCAGCGUCCCAAGAGAAAUGGGACCUGAAAGGACGUCGCGCCAAAGCCGGGCCAGCCACUUGCUGCGCGCAACUGGGCGAGGGGUGGCACUAGCCUAAAGCCUCUCCCGGGGGAAGCACGGCCCUGUUCCUCUGACCCGCACUUCUCUGAAAAUCCUCAGCUACUGGACUCCAUCUCUACGAGCAGGCGAAGGCUGGGAGUGCACCUGGAGUGGACAGAGCACAUGCUGACCUCGGGGCUUCCUCCCCAGUGGGCCAGCAACCCGAGAAAUCCGUAGAGAGCGCGCCCAGGCCGACCUCCGCCAGACAGACGUGGCCAAGCUUGAUAUAUGGUUGGAAGGGUAUACAGCACAUAGCAAUGAGGGUGCCAGCUGCUUGGUGAUACUGGGCACAGCACCUACUUCAGCAGACUGUUUCUGCAUUUCUCAAAGGAGCUGCUGGGACUGCCUCAUCUCUUCCAGUACUAUCUUUCUGUGGUUUUACGCUCAGAGAGUACAUUUCCCUUCUGGAUUUAAGGACUUCCUGGAAACCCUUCAUGAUUUAGCUGUCGCCACGCCACAAAGCGCUAAUUCAGCAUUAAGCUGUAGGUAUACUGGUGCAAUAUCUAGAACAAAGCAGAGGUGUUUUCCUCUAUCCUGAGUUAGACAGUUGAAAUACAGAUUAGGACACCAUGUAAGAGAAAAACCAGUAUGCAACUGGAGAGCAGGAACUUGGAAUGUUUGAUCUGCCAAGUGAGCAAGAUAGGUAAAACAAGAACAAACUGCUGUCCUGUAAACCAAGUCCUGAAAACCAAGACCACACAAAGAGGGUAAGAUGAUGCAGGCACUUCCUGAAGGCUCCAAAGGGAGCCAAGGAGGGAAGCAGGAUCUGAGCAGAGGGAGGAUCAGCAACAAGGCAGGCAGGUGUGCCCUCCGAAGCAACCUGAGGCAGGCAUCAGGCGCCAGGUGGGUGAGAGUGCUCGGGGGAGCAUGUGAUAAAGAGGUGAUCUAGCUCGAGGAGGAGGAAUGAACUUUAGGAGGGCAAGAGCCAAGAGUGAGUAACAGAGCUAAAAAGCUUGAAGGGGUGGCUGGAUAAACCAUGCUCGGAUCACACAACAGGCAGAGAACAUCUCACGCUCCUGUGUGUGCUCUACAGGACACAUGGUCAGAGAAAGCAGCUGCAGACUAUGCUCGCUGCUUUCUGUAAGAGUCAAAACUGCCAAGGGACAUGUGUGUGUUUAUAUUUUCAAAAAGAAUCAACAGAAGGAAACGACAGGGAAAGAGACAAAGGGAGGGAGGGGUACACAGAGGGAAGCCAAGCUCAUCUGAAAUGUUAUUUGUAGCUUUGCAUUUAGAACCAUGUAAAUUGGGGAAGAAGAAACUCUAGAAAUAAAUACUAAAGCUGAAAUAUGCCUGCUUCCUUACUGUUACAUGGGUAGGUUCAGCAGAUGAAAAUUCACUGAAUUCUACCCACUAACGAUCUGCACACUUCCCUUCAUGAUUACUGUCCUCUAAAGUGGCUUCAUAACCAAGAUUAUAUCAUGAAAAACUAAGAUUUUCAGUAUAAGAAAAACAUACAGACGGAAGUGAAAUACCUGUAAAUUUUGAUCUGAAUAAAAAACGUGCCCAUGAUUCCUUUUUUCUCUUAAAUGUGGGGCAUCCCUAUGGCUGCUUGCACCCCGCGGGCACAGACUGUGAUGGCCAUCUCCAUUUCCACAAGGCUCCUUGGGGACACAGCGAACUCUAGCCUGAGCAGCUAUGGACAGGACAGGCCUGCUGUGACAAAAGUACAGAAGCAGCCACAGACCAAGGAACAGGGAAGUCAACCUGGGAGCAUGAGUCCCGCAAGACAGCUUCAAUGGGC